RNAcentral lists this ribosomal RNA (230 nucleotides) under uncultured bacterium. RNAcentral describes it as "partial 16S ribosomal RNA". It matches the Rfam family "Bacterial small subunit ribosomal RNA", at positions 561 to 791 of the family's 1533-position model. The record is from RNAcentral.
UAAAGGGUGCGUAGGCGGCCUGUUAAGUCAGGGGUGAAAGACGGUAGCUCAACUAUCGCAGUGCCCUUGAUACUGAUGGGCUUGAAUUGACUAGAGGUAGGCGGAAUGUGACAAGUAGCGGUGAAAUGCAUAGAUAUGUCACAGAACACCGAUUGCGAAGGCAGCUUACUAUGGUCUUAUUGACGCUGAGGCACGAAAGCGUGGGGAUCAAACAGGAUUAAUACCCUGGU